CACGGAGUUAGCCGGUGCUUAUUCGUUAGAUACCGUCAUUAUCUUCUCUAACAAAAGGAGUUUACAAUCCGAAAACCUUCAUCCUCCACGCGGCGUUGCUGCUUCAGGGUUUCCCCCAUUGAGCAAUAUUCCCUACUGCUGCCCCCCGUAGGAGUCUGGACCGUGUCUCAGUUCCAGUGUGUCCGUUCACCCUCUCAGGCCGGAUACCCGUCAUAGCCUUGGUGAGCCAUUACCUCACCAACAAGCUGAUAGGACAUAGACCAAUCCUUUAGCGAAAAAACUUUCCCUCGUAAGGAGUAUCCAGUAUUAAUCAUCGUUUCCAAUGGCUAUCCUAGACUAAAGGGCAUGUUAUCUAUGCAUUACUCACCCGUGCGCCACUAAUCCACUCUAGCAAGCUAGAGCUUCAUCGUUCGACUUGCAUGUAUUAGGCACGCCGCCAGCGUUCACUCUGAGCCAGGAUCAAAACUC
Molecule: ribosomal RNA, 468 nt
Filed under: uncultured Helicobacter sp.
Lineage: Bacteria; Pseudomonadati; Campylobacterota; Epsilonproteobacteria; Campylobacterales; Helicobacteraceae
Description: partial 16S ribosomal RNA
Source: RNAcentral